This 1464-nucleotide long non-coding RNA is filed under the name Daucus carota (carrot). Its description in RNAcentral is "long non-coding RNA (DCAR_LNC002378)". The record is from RNAcentral. Lineage: Eukaryota; Viridiplantae; Streptophyta; Magnoliopsida; Apiales; Apiaceae.
UUGGGGUUCACACCACAAUAUAAACCUGUAAACAAUAAUAAUAUAUGCAAUGACCCUAAACAUCCACGGACCGCUCCAGGUUAUAGUAUGAAACAAGCCACAACUUAAAUUAUAUUACAAUACAUCGAAUCCCAAUCAAUAUCUUACAACUUACAAACCUUAACGCAGUGCUUACACACAAAAGAUACUCAAAAGUUCAUAAUAUCAGCAACUCCUAGCAAGGCUCUCCAACACUCAUCCUGAUACCUUAGCUUGAUGACUAGUCUGCGGGUCCUCGCUAACAGUAUUCUCUUUCUUCACUGGAAAAGAACAUAAAGAAUCGCAAGAAUGAGCUUACAGCUCAGCAAGCAAUAUAAACAAUAAACUGAAGUUCAACAAUUAUCAAUGAGAAUGAAUCAGGAUAUCAAAUCUCUUUUUAAAGCAGUGAUUAGAAUUGGAUAUUCAUAUUUUUAUUUAAAAACCAAGGUUAGGCUGCUGAUCAGUCACGCACUAACCCCGAGCCAGGUACAUACCAAGCUCUAUCACUGGAUCCAAGGCACACAUUGGCCUAAUGACCACGAAUCUGGUCUGACCACGAAUCUGGUCCACAUUUGUAAAACAAUCCAAAUGUUUAACAAUAUAAUGAAAUCAACAAUAUCUCAAUAACCCAGAAUCAAUACCAUUUGAACAGAAGCAAUAUUACCAAAACAGAAUCAUAAUCGUUAAAUCAGAAUCAUUAUAACGAGGGUUGCAAUAUUUAUCAAGAUUAAAAGACAAUUCAGAAUUAGGUUCAAGUAUCAUCACAAUAUGUUCGAAGAAUGGCUUGAAGUCGAAAGAAAGAUUAAGUAUAUGGUGAAGACAAUCUGGUGUUUGUAGAAGAAAUAAUGCAAUUGAGAUUGACUUAGGGUUCCAAUUAUGUUUAUCUUAAAGGAAAUUCAAGUGUUAGGGUGUAUAUGUGUGAACAUUCUUCGAAAGAGUAAUAUAGGUAUUUGGUAAGACAUUGUAUAAUUUGGUGAAGUAUUGUAGCAUAUAGGUUUGUACUGUUUGGUCAUUUAUGGAUGAAAGAAUAUCAAGUAAAUGAUUUGUGUUUCCAGGUCUCAAAGAAAUAGGUACAAGUUCAAUUGAAAUCAAAGUCAAGGUUCAGCUUGUAAUUCAGGUGUCGAAAGGAUUGAAUAAGGUUUAUCAAUAAUCAGGAUCAAUAGCACAAUAUAUCAACAGAUGUAUUCUCAAAUCUUUCCAGAACAACAACAUUAUAUGCAGAACAGUAACUCAAGGAGUUUACAGAAGUACAAGUUGAGAAUAGAGCACUUGCCUUAUUCUGAAGCUUUACUUCUCUCUAUAGCUUUUACUAAUCAGAAUCACUCCAAUACUACUUGCUUUCCCUUUCUAAGCCUGUCCUUCUCUGAUAAUCACAAUAUUCAUCUAUCAAUACUUAAUCUCAUAUCAUUCUAUUUGUUUCAUAGUCGAAACAAGCUUCUAUCUACC